AAUUUUAGUGAAAAUUUUAGGCCACACUUCUAAUGUGUUGUUUUUAUAAUUAUAAAAACUAGGACACUUUAAAAGUGUGGUCAUAUAUGUAAAUAGUUGUUGUCAUAUAUGUCAUAUUAUGACAACACUGAUAAAGUGUAGCCAAUACCAUUAAAGAGUAUGCUUUACAAGUGUUGCCAAUAUUAUUGUUGCCAAAAAGUUAAAAUUUUAGGCUAUAUUUUAAAAUCCAUCCCAAAUAUAUUUUAGGAAACACUUUUUAAGUGAAUGUCGCAUGGAGGUAGAAGUCCCAGGGGUCGUGAACUUCUCUUCCCGUAAAAGAAGCAAUGACGGUAUCAGGGGAAUAGGCAUCGGUUAACUAUGUGCAAGCAGUCGCAGUAAUAUAGAGGAUGCAAGCGUUAUCCAGAAUGAUUGGGCACAAAGCGUCUGUAGGUGGCUUUUUAAGUCCGCGAUCAAAUCCCAGGGCUCAAUCCAUGAUAGGUGGUUGAAACUACCAAGCUGGAGUACGGCAGGGGCAAAGGGAAUAUCUGGUGGAGCAGUGAAAUGCGUAGAGAUCGAAAAGAACACCAACGACGAAAGCAUUCUAUUGGGCCGACACUAACACUCAGAGACAAAAGCUAAGUGAGCGGAUGCUAUUCGAUAUCCCACUAGGCCUAGCUGUAAACGAUAGACAAUAGGCGCUGUGUGUAUCGACCCUUGCAGUGAUGUAGGUAACGCAUUAAGUAUCCCGCCUUGGGAGUACGUUUUCGCAAGAAUGAAACUAAAAGGAAUUUAUGGGGGCCCACACAAGCGGUGGAGCAUGUGGUUUAAUUCGAUGCAAAGCGAAGAACCUUACUAGGGCUUCACAUGCCGCGAAUCCUCAUAAAAGAGGGGGGCGCCUUCGAGAACACGGACACAGGUGGUGCAUGGUUGUCGUUAGCUCGUGUACUAAGGUGUUGGGUUAAAUCCAGUAAUUAGCGCAACCAUCAUGUUUAGUUGCCAUCAUUGAGUUUUAAAUGCUGAACAAACUGCCAAUGAUAAGCCGAAGGAAGGUCAGGAUGACAUCAAGUCAUCGUGCCCCUUAUGCCUGGGUGACACAUGUGCUACAAUGGCUCGGAUAAAAGUUCAUGAUCCCGUGAGGGUGAUCUAACCCCAGAAACAUGUCCAUAGUUUGGAUUGCAGGCUGCAACACGCCUGCAUGAAGUUGGAAUCACUAGUAAUUGCCGGUCAUCCAUACGACGGUGAAUUUGUUCCCGGGCCAUGUACACACCGCCUUUCACACUAUUGGAACUGGAGUGAGCUCGUAACAAGGUUGUUGUAAUGGAAGGUGCGGCUUGAUCACCUCUU
This 1323-nucleotide ribosomal RNA is filed under the name Solanum pennellii. Its description in RNAcentral is "bacterial SSU rRNA". The stretch from base 214 to 1323 matches the Rfam family "Bacterial small subunit ribosomal RNA". Lineage: Eukaryota; Viridiplantae; Streptophyta; Magnoliopsida; Solanales; Solanaceae. The record is from RNAcentral.